AUGGAGACCGUCGCGGCCGCCGGCUACGCGCACGGGGCCGCCACGCGCUCCCCGGCGUGCUGCGCCGCCAUGUCCUUCUCGCAGUCCUACAGGCCCAAGGCUGCCAGGCCGGCGACCUCGUUCUACGGCGAGUCGCUGCGGGCGAACACGGCGAGGACGUCGUUCCCGGCGGGGCGGCAGUCCAAGGCGGCCAGCCGGGCGGCGCUCACCACCCGCUGCGCGAUCGGCGACAGCCUGGAGGAGUUCCUGACCAAGGCGACGCCGGACAAGAACCUCAUCAGGCUGCUGAUCUGCAUGGGGGAGGCGAUGAGGACGAUCGCCUUCAAGGUCCGGACGGCCUCCUGCGGCGGCACGGCCUGCGUCAACUCCUUCGGCGACGAGCAGCUCGCCGUCGACAUGCUCGCCGACAAGCUCCUCUUCGAGGCGUUGGAGUACUCCCAUGUGUGCAAGUACGCGUGCUCUGAGGAAGUCCCCGAGCUGCAGGACAUGGGUGGCCCGGUCGAAGGCGGAUUCAGUGUGGCGUUCGACCCCCUUGACGGCUCCAGCAUCGUGGACACCAACUUCACCGUGGGAACCAUCUUCGGCGUCUGGCCCGGCGACAAGCUGACCGGCGUCACCGGCGGUGACCAGGUUGCUGCCGCCAUGGGCAUCUACGGCCCUCGCACCACCUUCGUAGUUGCCCUCAAGGACUGCCCCGGGACACACGAAUUCCUUCUCCUCGACGAAGGUAAAUGGCAGCAUGUCAAGGACACCACGAGCAUCGGAGAAGGGAAGAUGUUCUCCCCUGGCAAUCUGAGGGCCACGUUCGACAACCCUGAUUAUGACAAGCUUGUCAACUACUAUGUGAAGGAGAAGUACACUCUGCGUUACACCGGAGGAAUGGUCCCUGAUGUCAACCAGAUCAUCGUGAAGGAGAAGGGCAUCUUCACGAACGUGACGUCGCCGACGGCGAAGGCGAAGCUGCGGCUGCUGUUCGAGGUGGCGCCGCUGGGGUUCUUGAUAGAGAAGGCCGGCGGGCACAGCAGCGACGGCAAGCAGUCGGUGCUGGACAAGGUGAUCUCCGUCCUGGACGAGCGGACCCAGGUGGCCUACGGCUCCAAGAACGAGAUCAUCCGCUUCGAGGAGACCCUCUACGGCUCCUCCAGACUCGCCGCCAGCGCCACCGUCGGCGCCACCGCCUAA
Molecule: ribosomal RNA, 1182 nt
Filed under: Triticum aestivum (bread wheat)
Lineage: Eukaryota; Viridiplantae; Streptophyta; Magnoliopsida; Poales; Poaceae
Description: partial small subunit ribosomal RNA
Source: RNAcentral